UACGUAGGGUGCGAGCGUUGUCCGGAAUUAUUGGGCGUAAAGAGCUCGUAGGCGGUUUGUCGCGCUGCUGUGAAAACCUAAGGCUCAACCUUGGGCUUGCAGUGGGUACGGGCAGACUAGAGUGCGGUAGGGGUGACUGGAAUUCCUGGUGUAGCGGUGGAAUGCGCAGAUAUCAGGAGGAACACCGAUGGCGAAGGCAGGUCACUGGGCCGUAACUGACGCUGGAGGAGCGAAAGCGUGGGGAGCGAACAGG
Molecule: ribosomal RNA, 253 nt
Filed under: uncultured bacterium
Lineage: Bacteria
Description: partial 16S ribosomal RNA
Rfam family: Bacterial small subunit ribosomal RNA
Source: RNAcentral